AGCCGCUGAAAGCUGUCAAAGAACUUUCUAAGAAAUUUUCAAAUCUACCCGGAGUCUGAAACGACAAACGACGAUUUCCCACAGAAAUCUGACGAUAUAUAGUGCAGGUUCUCCAUAAAGAUUUCUUUAACUUUUGCGGACAAGCCUGCGAAGCGCUUGCAGCCAUUUGACCUAGGGAUCCCCGCAGAUGUUAAAGAAACACUAAGGUUCUUUAAUGCUCUUUACUUGGAUGCAUUAUCGUUGUCAUUGACAGCAGAAUUGGCAAGGCUUGCUUAAAAAGAGAUCCUGUUCCUUGUUCCUUGAUCUUAUAUCAAUGGAAGAACCGUGGAGGGUCACAACGACUGUAAAAAGCGAGCCGGAUGCCAUUCCCGAUGGCCAGUUUUGUUUUAGGCACAAUCAUGGGACCCCGUUCAGGAGCUUUCGUCCGUGAGUGGCAUGAUGGUCUACUUUAUAAGUAACUGCUUAUCCCAUAAUAGCUGAAAAUUGGCCACAGCAGUGUUCCUUUUAAGGGAACACCAUUCCACAAUCCCCACAGGCGCAGUACUUGGGUCUGAUCCUGGACAAGCGGCUCACCUGGAACAGCUCACAAUGAAAAUCGCAGCUUAAUGUCGGGCUAUGCUUAGUGAGCUCAACUGGCUGCUGUAGCCAACUAGCAAGCUUACUCUGGGCGAUCUGUAGACAAGAAGGACUUCUUUGUUUCUAAACUCCUAAAUUUAUAAAUAUUAAGUUGGAGUGCAAACAUCAAAGCGGUUUAUUGGUUGCAAUGCCGAUGGAAUCGCUGGACUGGGCCUAAGUCAAAUACCGUGUUGUGCGCCCAUUAGUCCGAGCAGAUUCCGGUGCACAUUAUUUCUGGCCACGGCACGUGUCUGAACCGCAAACAGAUGAAUUUUUGCAGUGCCGAGUCUCGUGCGAUGAGGACAACGAAAUAUGAGCAGGCGGCAGGCACUAAGGGCAGUUUGCGUAUUCCAAGUCUCGGUCCAGGAACUGAAACGGGAGCAGGACCCGUAGCUGGAGCUGGAGCCGGAGCCGGAGCCGGAGGAGCACUGCAAUUCGUCCUCGGGGUCUUUUUGGUGUUAAUAAUAAAUAAACGGACCGGCCUUGCAGCAGGAGUCCUGCCCGUGUUUUGGACACACUGUAGCGGAUUUUAAUGGACGAAUGCGAGUGCAGCGGCGGAGUGGAGCUAAAACCCAUGAGCCAUAGCCGGAGCACACCUUUUCCCAGGUGCAUGUGUGACACCCGAACCCUUCCUACGUUCCUGCCUUGAAAUACAGCAUUUGCUCGUCCAUCUUUUGAUUUAGCACCGACAUAAAAAUGAUUUAUCAGUGACAUUAAAAUAAUGCAUA
Drosophila simulans is the source of this 1343-nucleotide long non-coding RNA. RefSeq lists it as uncharacterized. Lineage: Eukaryota; Metazoa; Arthropoda; Insecta; Diptera; Drosophilidae. The transcript has 3 exons. The record is from RefSeq and is a predicted model, not a curated record.